RNAcentral lists this ribosomal RNA (1554 nucleotides) under Salmonella enterica subsp. enterica serovar Saintpaul. RNAcentral's name for it is "bacterial SSU rRNA". It matches the Rfam family "Bacterial small subunit ribosomal RNA". Lineage: Bacteria; Pseudomonadati; Pseudomonadota; Gammaproteobacteria; Enterobacterales; Enterobacteriaceae. The record is from RNAcentral.
AAAUUGAAGAGUUUGAUCAUGGCUCAGAUUGAACGCUGGCGGCAGGCCUAACACAUGCAAGUCGAACGGUAACAGGAAGCAGCUUGCUGCUUUGCUGACGAGUGGCGGACGGGUGAGUAAUGUCUGGGAAACUGCCUGAUGGAGGGGGAUAACUACUGGAAACGGUGGCUAAUACCGCAUAACGUCGCAAGACCAAAGAGGGGGACCUUCGGGCCUCUUGCCAUCAGAUGUGCCCAGAUGGGAUUAGCUUGUUGGUGAGGUAACGGCUCACCAAGGCGACGAUCCCUAGCUGGUCUGAGAGGAUGACCAGCCACACUGGAACUGAGACACGGUCGAGACUCCUACGGGAGGCAGCAGUGGGGAAUAUUGCACAAUGGGCGCAAGCCUGAUGCAGCCAUGCCGCGUGUAUGAAGAAGGCCUUCGGGUUGUAAAGUACUUUCAGCGGGGAGGAAGGUGUUGUGGUUAAUAACCGCAGCAAUUGACGUUACCCGCAGAAGAAGCACCGGCUAACUCCGUGCCAGCAGCCGCGGUAAUACGGAGGGUGCAAGCGUUAAUCGGAAUUACUGGGCGUAAAGCGCACGCAGGCGGUCUGUCAAGUCGGAUGUGAAAUCCCCGGGCUCAACCUGGGAACUGCAUUCGAAACUGGCAGGCUUGAGUCUUGUAGAGGGGGGUAGAAUUCCAGGUGUAGCGGUGAAAUGCGUAGAGAUCUGGAGGAAUACCGGUGGCGAAGGCGGCCCCCUGGACAAAGACUGACGCUCAGGUGCGAAAGCGUGGGGAGCAAACAGGAUUAGAUACCCUGGUAGUCCACGCCGUAAACGAUGUCUACUUGGAGGUUGUGCCCUUGAGGCGUGGCUUCCGGAGCUAACGCGUUAAGUAGACCGCCUGGGGAGUACGGCCGCAAGGUUAAAACUCAAAUGAAUUGACGGGGGCCCGCACAAGCGGUGGAGCAUGUGGUUUAAUUCGAUGCAACGCGAAGAACCUUACCUGGUCUUGACAUCCACAGAACUUUCCAGAGAUGGAUUGGUGCCUUCGGGAACUGUGAGACAGGUGCUGCAUGGCUGUCGUCAGCUCGUGUUGUGAAAUGUUGGGUUAAGUCCCGCAACGAGCGCAACCCUUAUCCUUUGUUGCCAGCGGUUAGGCCGGGAACUCAAAGGAGACUGCCAGUGAUAAACUGGAGGAAGGUGGGGAUGACGUCAAGUCAUCAUGGCCCUUACGACCAGGGCUACACACGUGCUACAAUGGCGCAUACAAAGAGAAGCGACCUCGCGAGAGCAAGCGGACCUCAUAAAGUGCGUCGUAGUCCGGAUUGGAGUCUGCAACUCGACUCCAUGAAGUCGGAAUCGCUAGUAAUCGUGGAUCAGAAUGCCACGGUGAAUACGUUCCCGGGCCUUGUACACACCGCCCGUCACACCAUGGGAGUGGGUUGCAAAAGAAGUAGGUAGCUUAACCUUCGGGAGGGCGCUUACCACUUUGUGAUUCAUGACUGGGGUGAAGUCGUAACAAGGUAACCGUAGGGGAACCUGCGGUUGGAUCACCUCCUUACCUUAAAGAAGC